CAGCCGCCACGGUAAUACGUAGGUGGCAAGCGUUGUCCGGAAUUAUUGGGCGUAAAGGGCUCGCAGGCGGUUUCUUAAGUCUGAUGUGAAAGCCCCCGGCUCAACCGGGGAGGGUCAUUGGAAACUGGGAAACUUGAGUGCAGAAGAGGAGAGUGGAAUUCCACGUGUAGCGGUGAAAUGCGUAGAGAUGUGGAGGAACACCAGUGGCGAAGGCGACUCUCUGGUCUGUAACUGACGCUGGGGUGCGAAAGCAUGGGGAGCAAACAGGAUCAGAUACCCCUGUAGUCCCUGUCUCUUAUAC
This 301-nucleotide ribosomal RNA is filed under the name uncultured bacterium. RNAcentral's name for it is "partial 16S ribosomal RNA". It matches the Rfam family "Bacterial small subunit ribosomal RNA", at positions 509 to 807 of the family's 1533-position model. The record is from RNAcentral.